This 179-nucleotide non-coding RNA is filed under the name Oceanirhabdus sp. W0125-5. Its description in RNAcentral is "6S RNA". It matches the Rfam family "6S / SsrS RNA". Rfam says of the family: E. coli 6S RNA was the first non coding RNA to be sequenced, but its function was unknown until recently. It consists of 184 nucleotides that fold into an extended hairpin structure with a large single-stranded internal bulge. The record is from RNAcentral. Lineage: Bacteria; Bacillati; Bacillota; Clostridia; Eubacteriales; Clostridiaceae.
AGAAUCCUGAGCUGUUCGUAAAGCUUACUUUGUUCAACCGACAAAAUGAUAUAGGGAUCAUCGAAAUGUAUAUGGAUGGCAUGCUCUCUUUGAAGAGAAGGCAGAAGUAUAAUGAGAAGAGCCCACCUGCUGAGUGGCGGGUAUGAACAACGUAAGUUACCGGCAGAUUUGGGAUGUAU